AUUUUAAGUAUUGUAACGACUACUUACUUACCAUCAGUAAAGCGCCUAGUGAAGCACGGAUCAUCUUACUUUCGGACAAUCAGGUGAUUAACCUGUAAUGUUAUAACCGGGAUUCGAACCCGAAACCUCCGGAUCGUGAGCCCAACGCUCAACCACUGGAUCACAGAGCUGGAGGUCAUUACGGUUGUAUGGUAUAGUUGUAAGACUCGCGACGCCACAAAUAACGUCGACGAACUUCGUGUACUCGUAUCUAUCGGGUCUAAUAGAUGUUUGGUGAAUGAUUUUGUGAUUUUAUAGCCAAAGUCAAAUUCAAAUUCAAAAAUAUCUGUUUAUGACCAAGUCAACCAUAAAUAUUUUUAUACUAUAAUAGUUUUUUGGAUUGUCUAUAUGGUUAGUUAAGAAAAACUCAAUGUUAUAAAAUGGUGUAAGUUUUUUCGUGCCAUAAAAUAAAUAUUGUGAUUCUAUAAAUCCGCCUGUUUUCUAUGUUGCCCUCAUCAAGCUACUGGAAGGACUUUAAGAUAUAUAUAUGUAGGGCACAAUAUCUUUAUUCAGUAGGUAACAUAGUUACACUUUGAAUCGUCAAUUUUUACAUAACGAACGUCUCAUCCGCCUAAAACUACUGCAGCUUCUCACAACCUGUAUAGCCGGGGAAAAGAAGCUGCAAGAAAAACCUCGGCACAGGGCCCUAGACGUUCUUUAAAAAUAAAUAAAAAUAAACAUAAGCCUUCUAUAGGUCAAUAAGAAGACCGCGAUAAUUAUCGCGUCCUAACGUCAUUAUCAUUUUGAAAGCCGGUUUAAAUGUGCCAAUGCGCUGUCACUCGCCUCGUGUUCAGAGUUGUCAAAACAACUUCUUGGCGCGAACGACGACCGAGCGACACUAAGUAGUGCUGUUAAACAACAAUUUCAAAAUAAUAGUCGAUAACGGAACGCAGCGAGAGACUUUCCAGGCUACGUUCACCAAAAACAAUAAAGAUCAGAUUUAACGUGAUAAUUACCUAUUUUCUCAUUGCUCGAGGUACAUAAUUAUACAUUAUAAUAAUUGUUACUUGAUAUAUGGAUCAGAUAGGUAUGUAGCAGAGUACAAACUCUGCACAUACUGGCCUUUUGUUCGGACCAUCAUCAUUUUAAAUUACGAAAUUCUCAUUCCAUUCCAUUCGCAUUUCCUUUCAUUUUACUCACUUUUGACUCACUGCAUCCCUGACCUUCAUAUAAACAACAAGUGUAUUAUACUGUUUAGGGCCGUGCCCUCUGAAACCCUCCUCAGUGCCCUCCUUUUGUGAAAUGUGUAUAUUGUGAACUAUUAUUUUUGUGACUAUGUUACUAAGUUUGUGAAGUGUUUUUAAUAAACUAUACUACUACUGCU
Pectinophora gossypiella (pink bollworm) is the source of this 1363-nucleotide long non-coding RNA. RefSeq lists it as uncharacterized. The transcript has 2 exons. The record is from RefSeq and is a predicted model, not a curated record. Lineage: Eukaryota; Metazoa; Arthropoda; Insecta; Lepidoptera; Gelechiidae.